GAGGAAGUAAAAGUCGUAACAAGGUCUCCGUUGGUGAACCAGCGGAGGGAUCAUUAUAGAGUUUUCUAAACUCCCAACCCAUGUGAACUUACCUUUUGUUGCCUCGGCAGAAGUUAUAGGUCUUCUUAUAGCUGCUGCCGGUGGACCAUUAAACUCUUGUUAUUUUAUGUAAUCUGAGCGUCUUAUUUUAAUAAGUCAAAACUUUCAACAACGGAUCUCUUGGUUCUGGCAUCGAUGAAGAACGCAGCGAAAUGCGAUAAGUAAUGUGAAUUGCAGAAUUCAGUGAAUCAUCGAAUCUUUGAACGCACAUUGCGCCCAUUAGUAUUCUAGUGGGCAUGCCUGUUCGAGCGUCAUUUCAACCCUUAAGCCUAGCUUAGUGUUGGGAAUCUACUUCUCUUAGGAGUUGUAGUUCCUGAAAUACAACGGCGGAUUUAUAGUAUCCUCUGAGCGUAGUAAUUUUUUUCUCGCUUUUGUUAGGUGCUAUAACUCCCAGCCGCUAAACCCCCAAUUUUUUGUGGUUGACCUCGGAUCAGGUAGGAAUACCCGCUGAACUUAAGCAUAUCAAUAAGCGGAGGAA
RNAcentral lists this ribosomal RNA (577 nucleotides) under fungal endophyte sp. P1803A. RNAcentral describes it as "eukaryotic LSU rRNA". The stretch from base 200 to 353 matches the Rfam family "5.8S ribosomal RNA". The record is from RNAcentral. Lineage: Eukaryota; Fungi.